CACGUGAGCAACCUGCCCCUAACUCUGGGAUAACGCUUCGAAAGGGGUGCUAAUACCGGAUAUGAGCCUGGAAGACAUCUUCUGGGUUGGAAAGUUUUUCGGUUAGGGAUGGGCUCGCGGCCUAUCAGCUUGUUGGUGAGGUAAAGGCUCACCAAGGCGACGACGGGUAUCCGGCCUGAGAGGGCGACCGGACACACUGGGACUGAGACACGGCCCAGACUCCUACGGGAGGCAGCAGUGGGGAAUAUUGCGCAAUGGGCGAAAGCCUGACGCAGCGACGCCGCGUGAGGGAUGAAGGUCUUCGGAUUGUAAACCUCUUUCAGCAGGGACGAAGCGAAAGUGACGGUACCUGAAGAAGGAGCACCGGCUAACUACGUGCCAGCAGCCGCGGUAAUACGUAGGGUGCAAGCGUUGUCCGGAUUUAUUGGGCGUAAAGAGCUCGUAGGCGGUUAGACACGUCGGAUGUGAAAACUGGGGGCUCAACCCCCAGCCUGCAUUCGAUACGGUCUGACUAGAGUGUGGUAGGGGUAACUGGAAUUCCUGGUGUAGCGGUGAAAUGCGCAGAUAUCAGGAGGAACACCGAUGG
RNAcentral lists this ribosomal RNA (586 nucleotides) under uncultured Actinomycetes bacterium. RNAcentral describes it as "bacterial SSU rRNA". It matches the Rfam family "Bacterial small subunit ribosomal RNA", at positions 114 to 715 of the family's 1533-position model. The record is from RNAcentral. Lineage: Bacteria; Bacillati; Actinomycetota; Actinomycetes.